CUCGGACCCCUCCCAUCCUCCUCCGCCCCACUCUGUGUCAGAGGCUGGGGCCCCGGGCCGGAUUUCGGGCGGCGGGUCCGGGUGGCGGGGCUGGAGGGUGUGGACCCGCGCAGCGCUCAGCAGGCCGUGUCCGGCUGGGCGCUGCAGCUGCCGCCGCCGCCGCCCAAGGCCCUCGGCAUCCCCCGGAGAGAGACCAGAGCGAUUCCGGGCCGUCCCGGCGCUCGCUCAGGUGUGUUAAGAUGAAACACUGCAGACAGGCCUUCUGAAGAUCAAGAAAAGGAAAAACAGAACAUUACAGACUCUGGAAAAAAAACUUGUGCUCCCUAGACUCAUGGCCCAUGCUGUCCAAAAGUUUGGUGCAUUUAAUACAUUUUUGAUUGUCAUUUAUAUCAACUAAUUUCUUCUUUGUUAUAAAUUUCUGUUGUUUAAUUAAAUAUAUAUAUUUCUCUUUUAUAUUUUUAUCUUUUACUAACAAUACAUUAGUCAUUGUUUACUGGUGUGCAUCUUAUGGUUUUUUAACUUUCACUUUGUGUUGAACUGGUUUUCUUUGAAAAAAGAACAUUAAUGAUA
RNAcentral lists this long non-coding RNA (570 nucleotides) under Balaenoptera musculus (blue whale). RNAcentral's name for it is "lncRNA (ENSBMSG00010005537.1)". The record is from RNAcentral. Lineage: Eukaryota; Metazoa; Chordata; Mammalia; Artiodactyla; Balaenopteridae.